Molecule: ribosomal RNA, 485 nt
Filed under: uncultured Actinomycetes bacterium
Lineage: Bacteria; Bacillati; Actinomycetota; Actinomycetes
Description: bacterial SSU rRNA
Rfam family: Bacterial small subunit ribosomal RNA
Source: RNAcentral
UGGGGAAUCUUGCGCAAUGCACGAAAGUGUGACGCAGCAACGCCGCGUGCGGGAAGAAGGUCUUCGGAUCGUAAACCGCUUUCAGUUGGGACGAGGGUUACACGGUGAAUAGCCGGCGUAACUGACGGUACCUUCAGAAGAAGCCCCGGCUAACUACGUGCCAGCAGCCGCGGUAAUACGUAGGGGGCAAGCGUUAUCCGGAAUCAUUGGGCGUAAAGCGCGUGUAGGCGGUUCCGUAAGUCCGCUCUGAAAGCCCAGGGCUCAACCCUGGGAGGCGGGUGGAUACUACGGAACUGGAGUACGGAAGAGGAGAUUGGAAUUCCUGGUGUAGCGGUGAAAUGCGCAGAUAUCAGGAGGAACACCAACAGCGAAGGCAGAUCUCUGGGACGUUACUGACGCUGAGACGCGAAAGCGUGGGGAGCAAACAGGAUUAGAUACCCUGGUAGUCCACGCCGUAACGAUGAAUACUAGGUGUAGGGGGUAUC